This 29-nucleotide non-coding RNA is filed under the name Homo sapiens (human). Lineage: Eukaryota; Metazoa; Chordata; Mammalia; Primates; Hominidae. The record is from RNAcentral.
UACGUGUUAAAUGGGAACUCAUGAUGGUU